RNAcentral lists this ribosomal RNA (440 nucleotides) under uncultured bacterium. RNAcentral's name for it is "bacterial SSU rRNA". It matches the Rfam family "Bacterial small subunit ribosomal RNA", at positions 8 to 449 of the family's 1533-position model. The record is from RNAcentral.
AGAGUUUGAUCCUGGCUCAGAUUGAACGCUGGCGGCAUGCCUUACACAUGCAAGUCGAACGGUAACAGGGAGCUUGCUCCGCUGACGAGUGGCGAACGGGUGAGUAAUAUAUCGGAACGUACCUUUGAGUGGGGGAUAACUAGUCGAAAGACUAGCUAAUACCGCAUACGAUCUACGGAUGAAAGUGGGGGCUCGCAAAGACCUCAUGCUCAUAGAGCGGCCGAUAUCUGAUUAGCUAGUUGGUGAGGUAAAGGCUCACCAAGGCAUCGAUCAGUAGCUGGUCUGAGAGGACGACCAGCCACACUGGGACUGAGACACGGCCCAGACUCCUACGGGAGGCAGCAGUGGGGAAUUUUGGACAAUGGGGGCAACCCUGAUCCAGCAAUGCCGCGUGAGUGAAGAAGGCCUUCGGGUUGUAAAGCUCUUUUGUCAGGGAAGAA